GAGCCUUUGCGCGCUCCCGCGACUAGUCACAAAUCGUGGCAGGGGAUAACUACUUUGGCACCACACCUGUACGGUUCCUGGAUAGAAUUAUAUCGGUAGUUCCAUCAACUUCCUCUUUUUCUUCUUCUUUUGUGCUGUGUGUUAUGGAACAGCGACGCCUAGAGCUCUAACAUGCAAAUACACCCAGUAGUUCAACAGGGAAACAUUUAGCCACAACAACUGCAGAGGAUGUGAACAGUUUCCACAGCAGAAGUCAGAUGUGUUCCAUCUUCGUGUACAAAAACCAAGACGAGGGAGGAGGAUCAGCCAGCCACUGACGGGAAACCAAGCAACAGGAGCGUAUGAGCAUGCUGUCAUGCACGUCUCAGUUUCUACUGAAGCCUUCUGAUGCAUCCAAACGGGUUCAGGAGGGAGGAGCAUCGACGCCCCUCUCUUUCUGUCAUAAAUAAGUGAAACAAACCAAAACCAACAGAAAUAUUUAGACACAAACAAAGUAUUUUUAAACGUUCUCUUGUGAAGGACCCCCGCUUCACCAGUCCGGUCCGGGUCUGGUGGUGUGUGCGGUGGCGGGUCGGGACUGCACUCAGACCCCUCCGGGAGAGGCUGAUGGUUCAAUGGUCACACGUCCUCCCCGCCCGCACCGCCAUCACUAAUUCCUCCAUGUUGCUGUACGACGGAGCUGCGCACUCGGGGGUGAAGAGCAUCAUUUUUAGCUCCUCCCCUAGAUGAAGCAAGCCUCGACACGCGCUUGGCGGAAGCUCCUCCCCCACUACUCGACACUCGCCUCGAUACAGAACGUCACAUCACUAUUUCCAACCACCAAAAUGCGGUAGGAGACGCUGUAUUUUCAACAGUUAUGUCAUCUUUAGAUGAUGAUGCAGUCUGGUUCGGAGCCUUUUUCUUCGAUACAGGUGGCUUACUUGGAGUUAGCGACAGCGGCGGAAAUGGUUCCUCACAGACGUCGGUCACCAUGCCAUUAGCAUUUAAAUAGUCGCUAGCUAGCGCCCGAGCUAACUCCAGCAAUGUCGGAUAUUCACGUUUUUCACCAUGGCGAUCACAAAAGUUCAGAAAAAAUAUUCAAGAGUAAACUUUACAAAGUAAUGUUGGUUUUCACAGUUUUCCAAUCAAAGUAGAUGCGAAGCAAAGCAAACAACAACACGUAUGUUUCCCAGCAUGGAAUGCGGCUCAAAUUGUAUUUUUGUAAAAGAAAAACCCUUCAAAAUCACACUUAUUUUUCGUUAUAUUUUAUUUAUAAGUAAC
Molecule: long non-coding RNA, 1260 nt
Filed under: Oryzias javanicus (javanese ricefish)
Lineage: Eukaryota; Metazoa; Chordata; Actinopteri; Beloniformes; Adrianichthyidae
Description: lncRNA (ENSOJAG00000013487.1)
Source: RNAcentral